CAACGGCCCCCGUCCAGGUCACGGGGCGGGGCUUUCUGACGGAAGCGCGCGCGCAAAGAGUCCUUGAACCCGGACGCUCGCAGCGGCUACCUCGGGGCGGGGAGGGCGGCGGGAAAAUCCUUCCUCUGGGAGAGCCUUCCCGGCGCGUGACUGGGGGACGGGAGUCGCAGGCUGAGCAGCUGCCGAGUUUUUUGUGAGGGCGAGGGAACCAGACGUCCACGUUGUGAUUCUGCGCGCAGAAGGGUCAUCGGAGUCCGGGGGUGUCGCCGCGGCCCCCCCGCCCCUCAGAGGGUGUGGGAAUGGGUGUGGUGGCAGGGCGGGGGUCUGCACCGCCACGCGCGACCCCGAUCGCGAAAACGUGAGGCGGCAAAGCGCCUCUGGCAGAAGCCGCCCGCCGUAGCUGGGAAAGCCGGAGGUUGCAAAUCUGCGUCUACGCGGCGGCUUCUCCACCUCGGCACCACUGGCAUUUGGGCGGGAUCGCUCUGUCUUCGGGGCGGGUCCCCCGAUCUGUCGGAAGUUGAGCGGCAUCUCUGGCCUCCGAAGCGCCCCCUCCCCCAAUCUGCAGUCAUUGCCGCCGUCCCUUGUGGGGGCACAGUCCCCCCGCCCCCCCACCGGCAGAGAACCCCGUGAUUGAAAGACCCUUCUACCCGCCUCUGCCUUGAGAUUCUGUAAAACUGAGAUGCUCAUUCUCUUAACCAAACACGUCACAGAGGAGGAAACGGAGGCCCAAGGUCACCUAGACUUCGGGGUUAAGCCCAGAACCGCAGAUGUCAAGUUUAAGGGCGCCCCUCCUCCCUCCACCCUGUUUAUUGCCUUGGAAGACCUAGAUUUAAAACAGGAGGAAGACAGCUGAUGAGAACCACAUGUGUGCCUUGGAGCUGCCCGACACCUGUUAGUCUUGUAUUUGUUGUGCUUCUGGGAAAUAUUUUCAUUUGCAAAAACGGCUGCUUCUGCACGUGGCUAUGGUUGCGUGCUUCUGCACAUGUGAAAAGUUUUACAUCACACUUGGAGGAGAAAAGAAACACGGGCAAAACACUUGUCAUUUACUGCUCCCAACCUCGCCCCUCCCAGAAUGCGGUGCAUUGUGUACAUGGUGUACAUGGUCCAAGUUGGAAACUGGCCCAUUCGGAGAUAAUUCUCUCAUUUCUGAUAAGCAAAAUAAGCAAAGCCUUCCUCAGGCA
RNAcentral lists this long non-coding RNA (1181 nucleotides) under Homo sapiens (human). Its description in RNAcentral is "HSALNT0396412". The record is from RNAcentral. Lineage: Eukaryota; Metazoa; Chordata; Mammalia; Primates; Hominidae.